GAUGAACGCUGGCGGCGUGCCUAAUACAUGCAAGUCGAACGAGUUCUCGUUGAUGAUCGGUGCUUGCACCGAGAUUCAACAUGGAACGAGUGGCGGACGGGUGAGUAACACGUGGGUAACCUGCCCUUAAGUGGGGGAUAACAUUUGGAAACAGAUGCUAAUACCGCAUAGAUCCAAGAACCGCAUGGUUCUUGGCUGAAAGAUGGCGUAAGCUAUCGCUUUUGGAUGGACCCGCGGCGUAUUAGCUAGUUGGUGAGGUAAUGGCUCACCAAGGCGAUGAUACGUAGCCGAACUGAGAGGUUGAUCGGCCACAUUGGGACUGAGACACGGCCCAAACUCCUACGGGAGGCAGCAGUAGGGAAUCUUCCACAAUGGACGCAAGUCUGAUGGAGCAACGCCGCGUGAGUGAAGAAGGCUUUCGGGUCGUAAAACUCUGUUGUUGGAGAAGAAUGGUCGGCAGAGUAACUGUUGUCGGCGUGACGGUAUCCAACCAGAAAGCCACGGCUAACUACGUGCCAGCAGCCGUGGUAAUACGUAGGUGGCAAGCGUUAUCCGGAUUUAUUGGGCGUAAAGCGAGCGCAGGCGGUUUUUUAAGUCUGAUGUGAAAGCCCUCGGCUUAACCGAGGAAGCGCAUCGGAAACUGGGAAACUUGAGUGCAGAAGAGGACAGUGGAACUCCAUGUGUAGCGGUGAAAUGCGUAGAUAUAUGGAAGAACACCAGUGGCGAAGGCGGCUGUCUGGUCUGUAACUGACGCUGAGGCUCGAAAGCAUGGGUAGCGAACAGGAUUAGAUACCCUGGUAGUCCAUGCCGUAAACGAUGAAUGCUAGGUGUUGGAGGGUUUCCGUCCUUCAGUGCCGCAGCUAACGCAUUAAGCAUUCCGCCUGGGGAGUACGACCGCAAGGUUGAAACUCAAAGGAAUUGACGGGGGCCCGCACAAGCGGUGGAGCAUGUGGUUUAAUUCGAAGCAACGCGAAGAACCUUACCAGGUCUUGACAUCUUUUGAUCACCUGAGAGAUCAGGUUUCCCCUUCGGGGGCAAAAUGACAGGUGGUGCAUGGUUGUCGUCAGCUCGUGUCGUGAGAUGUUGGGUUAAGUCCCGCAACGAGCGCAACCCUUAUGACUAGUUGCCAGCAUUUAGUUGGGCACUCUAGUAAGACUGCCGGUGACAAACCGGAGGAAGGUGGGGAUGACGUCAAAUCAUCAUGCCCCUUAUGACCUGGGCUACACACGUGCUACAAUGGAUGGUACAACGAGUUGCGAGACCGCGAGGUCAAGCUAAUCUCUUAAAGCCAUUCUCAGUUCGGACUGUAGGCUGCAACUCGCCUACACGAAGUCGGAAUCGCUAGUAAUCGCGGAUCAGCACGCCGCGGUGAAUACGUUCCCGGGCCUUGUACACACCGCCCGUCACACCAUGAGAGUUUGUAACACCCGAAGCCGGUGGCGUAACCCUUUUAGGGAGCGAGCCGUCUAAGGUGGGACAAAUGAUUAGGGUG
RNAcentral lists this ribosomal RNA (1492 nucleotides) under Lacticaseibacillus paracasei. RNAcentral describes it as "bacterial SSU rRNA". It matches the Rfam family "Bacterial small subunit ribosomal RNA". Lineage: Bacteria; Bacillati; Bacillota; Bacilli; Lactobacillales; Lactobacillaceae. The record is from RNAcentral.